AUGCUUAAUCGCUCUGGGAGGGAGUUUUUCCUUGAGACCGAGGGCGUCUUGAUAGCCAUCCAGGUGGCUGCCGCCACAAAGUGUUGCCUGUAUCUGUCCGUCCUAAUGGAGGCCACGGCUCUCAGCAUUGGAAAGUCCGUGCUGGAUGGAGCGCUUGGUUACGCCAAAUCCGCUCUGGCGGAGGAGGUGGCUCUGCAACUUGGAGUCCGGCGUGACCAGGUCUUCAUCACCAAUGAGCUCGAGAUGAUGCAGGCCUUCCUCAUGACUGCCCAUGACGAGAGAUAUGAUGACGACAGGGUUGUCAAGGUGUGGGUGAAACAAGUCCGGGAUGUGGCCUAUGAUGUCGAGGACACCCUUCAAGAAUUUGCUGUUCGCCUUGAGAAGCAGUCCUGGUGGCGUAUCCGUCGCACACUGCUGGAUCGGCGCCGCGUGGCCAAGCUGAUGAAGGAGCUCAGAGCCAAUGUUGAGGAUGUUAGCCAGAGGAACAUGCGCUACCACCUCGUCAGAUCCAAGCCAGUGUUAACAGCUGCUGAGCAAUCUGCCAUCGCUUCUGCAACAUUGUUUGGCAUCGAUGGAGCGAGGAAUGCCACCAAAUACAAGAAAUCAAACGUGGAUCUUGCCCAGCUGCUCAUGGUCAACAAAGAUGAGAAUACUGACCUAGGGGUGAUAGCGGUGUGGGGAACAAGUGCUGAUCUUGGGCAGACGUCCAUCAUCAGGGUGGUCUACGAGAAUCCAGAUAUCAAAACCAAAUUCCCAUGUCGAGCUUGGGUCAGGCUGACACAUCCUUUCGAUUCAAAAGAUUUCAUUCAGAGUUUAGUGAAGCAAUUUUACACGGCUGUAGGGGCUACAGUCCUGUUUGGAAUGGAAAUGACAACACCAUUUGAACUAGCUGAGAAGUUUGAUUGGUAUGUGAAGAAGAAGAGAUACCUUAUUGUGCUUAAUGGCCUAUCCACUAUUGAAGAAUGGGAUUGGGUUAAAGGAUUCUUUCCGGACAACAAUCUGGGGAGCAGAAUCAUAGUCUCUACAACGCAAGUUGAAGUUGCAAGCUUAUGUGUAGGGCAAGAAAGCAUAGUUUCACAGCUCAACCAAUUGUCUGCUGAUCAAAACAUUUAUGCUUUCAACCAGAAGGGUUGUCAAGGUAGAACCGGGUUAACUACAUCGAACACAACUAGUACUGGUGUAGAUAACAACUCCACAUCGUCUGCUGUGGAGAUAUUACCUGAACAGUCUAAAGGUGAUGACGGAAAGCAUGAAGUGAAAAACCGCAUCACUCGCAUCAAGACGAUGGUGGCUGCUUUGGAGGAAUCUCAUCUUGUUGGGCGGAAGAAAGAAAAAGGUGAAAUUAUCAAACUGAUUUCAAAUCGAAUUACCCAAUUGCAGGUGAUCUCGGUGUGGGGAAUGGGUGGUCUUGGAAAAACCACUCUAGUCAAGGACAUAUACCAAAGUGAAGAAGUCAGUGGCAAGUUUGAGAAGCGUGCUUGGGUCACAAUCAUGCGUCCAUUCAAUCUUGAAGAGCUUCUUAGGAGCUUAGUUAUGCAAUUAGAUAGAGAAUCUUCUAGAAAGAUGGAAGUGGUGGGUUUGAUGGGCAACACAAUGAAGAAAUUUCUAUUGAUGUCACCUGCAGAGUUGAUCAAGGAGUUGGCCAGACUUCUAGAAGGAAAGAGGUACUUCAUUGUUGUUGAUGAUGUAUCAUCUACUAUGGAAUGGAAUAUGAUAGUGCCAAUUUUCCAUGAUGUGGAAAAUACAUGCUGCGUCAUAGUUACCACAAGGGAAGAGACUAUUGCUAAACAUUGUUCGGAGAAACAAGAAAAUAUAUACAUGCUCACCGGUCUGGAAUACAAGGAUGCACGUGACCUCUUCACUAAAAAGGUAUUUAAGCAGAAUAUGGAUUUGGAUAAGCAAUAUCCUGAGUUGGUUGAACAAGCAGAAAUGGUCCUGAGGAAGUGCAAUGGACUCCCCCUUGCAGUAGUCACCAUAGGUGGCUUCUUAGCAAACCAACCAAAAUCUGCUUUGGAGUGGAGGAAACUAAAUGAGCAUAUCAGCGCCGAGUUGGAGAUGAAUCCGGAGUUUGGGACCAUAAAGACUGUCCUUAUGAGAAGCUAUGAUGGUUUACCUUAUCACCUCAAGUCAUGUUUCCUAUAUAUGCCCAUCUUUCCUGAAGAUUGCAAGGUUGGACGGGGACGCUUGGCAGGUCGGUGGAGUGCAGAGGGUUACUCAAGGGAGGUACGCGGCAAGUCUGCAAAGGAAAUAGCGGAUAGCUACUUCUUGGAACUUAUAAGCAGGAGUAUGAUCCUACCAUCUCAACAAUCAAUUCAUAGCAGAAAAGGAAUUAGUUCCUGCCAAGUCCAUGAUCUUAUCCGUGAAAUUGGUAUCGCAAAGUCCAUGGAAGAAAAUCUUGUUUUUACACUCGAGGAAGGUUGCAGCUCAAAUAGCCAGACCACCGUGCGCCACUUAGUUAUAAGCAGCAACUGGAAGGGAGAUAAGAGUGAGUUUGAGAGCAUGGUGGACAUGUCCCGUCUGCGGUCAGUUACAUGUUUUGGAGAGUGGAAGUCAUUUUUUGUUUCUGACAAGAUGAGGUUGUUAAGAGUGCUGGACUUAGAAGACACAACAGGUGUAUAUAGUCAUCACCUAAAGCAUAUUGGGAUGCUUCUUCACCUAAGAUACCUUUCUCUAAGAGGAUGUGAUGAUGUUUCUCACCUGCCAGAUUCAUUAGGUAACCUGAGACAGCUUGAGACACUAGACAGUAGACAAACCCUAAUACUGUUGCUGCCAAAGACAAUCAUCAAGCUUCGGAAGCUAAACAAUCUUCAUGCUGGCAGGCUUUCGGUGGAUGAGGUGGUCUCAAUCGAUGAUGAGUUUGUACAUGAGUUUCCACGGGGCACCCAAAAUAGGCCAUGUCUUUUUUGUCUCAUGCCGCUGCUUUCUUGUAUAGCAUGUUGUGCACCUCAAUGUGUGUUUCAUGGUGGUAACUUCAGCCACCGUGAUGCAUGCAGAUUAUAUUGCUGUCUUCUAUUGCCUGCUAUUGCAAUUCGCCUGGACUUGUAUGGUGUUCUAUUGCCAAGAGGGAUGAGGAAACUGAAAGCCCUGCGCACACUGGGUGUUGUGAACAUCGGACGACGCGGAAAGUAUGCUGUACAGGACAUAAAAGGACUCACCCAGUUGCGCAAGUUGGGAGUGACUGGCGUCAAUAAGGAAAACGGACAAGAGUUGUGUUCAGCAAUUGUUGGUCUCACACGCAUGGAGUCAUUGUCAAUCCGGUCAGAGGGGGAGCCAGGUUUAUGUGGCUGCUUGGAUGGAAAGUUCUCGUUUCCGGAGACAUUGCAGAGCCUCAAGCUGUACGGCAACCUGGUCAAACUGCCGGAAUGGGUCAAGGGGCUCAAGAAUCUGGUGAAGCUGAAGCUGCGGAGCUCCAGGAUACUAGAGCAUGAUACAACAAUACAACUCCUUGGUGAUUUACCAAACCUGGCGUUCCUACAUCUGUUGAAGAAGUCGUUCCAGCACGGUGAUGAGGUUUGUCUCAGUUUCCAUCGGGACAUGUUCCCAAGCCUGGUGGUGCUGGAAUUGGAUCUCAUAAAGAACCUCAAAUUGGUGAAGUUUGAAGAAGGAGCAACCCCAAAGCUGGAGCUGCUGAAGUUUCGAACUUGGGAUUCUGAACUCAGCGUUGGGUUGUUCUCUGGGCUACCAUCUCUCUGGAGCCUCAAGGAAUUUAUGCUGGACAAUGAUGACUACAAUGAAGAUUCCGUGGAGGGCUUGCGCCACCAGCUUGCCGCGAAUCAAAAUGGACCCGUUCUGAAGAGGUUCUGA
RNAcentral lists this ribosomal RNA (3804 nucleotides) under Triticum aestivum (bread wheat). RNAcentral's name for it is "partial small subunit ribosomal RNA". Lineage: Eukaryota; Viridiplantae; Streptophyta; Magnoliopsida; Poales; Poaceae. The record is from RNAcentral.